AUUUAAAAGAGGUCAGGCUCAGCUGCCUUUUCUGCUUGCCUCCUCCACUUUGCUCUUCAUCAUUUGGCCUUUUUCUGGCUUCCCACCUGGAGGACAGAUGGGAUAAGCAGAAGAGGAGCAGCUAGAUAACAACUGUGUUGAUCAAAAGGAAGAAAGGAAAGAAGAAAGAAAGGAAUGAUCAAGAAAAGAACAGAAAAAAAUCUACUACAGGAAUGGGUUUGAAAAGAGAUUGCCCAGUCUCUUCAGAUGACUGCAGCCACGACCGACAACUUGAUGCAACUUCAUGAGAGAUGCUGAGCCACAACCACCCAGCUAAGUCAUGUUCACAUUCCUAACCCUCAGA
Molecule: long non-coding RNA, 343 nt
Organism: Symphalangus syndactylus (siamang)
Lineage: Eukaryota; Metazoa; Chordata; Mammalia; Primates; Hylobatidae
Source: RefSeq, a predicted model, not a curated record